CAUAUUGUCCGUACGAAAGCAGUCAAAUUUCUCAUCUGGUCUGACUGUCCAAACACCGCCUUAAAUCAAUAAGAUGGCAGAUAGUUAUGCUACUCUCGAACAACCAUCGGAAAAAAUGUCUCCGGCUAACCUUAAGGACAGUAUGGAAGAGCUUCUGAGGUUUACUCUGGAGUCUCAUAUAGACGAAACCCUACAAUUCGAUCUACAGCUCUCCAAGGCCUUCUGCUACAACCUCCUCAAAGACGACCCCACCGACACCAACUCUUCCCCGAUCGAUUCUUCUCUAGGAGUCCCGUCAUAUCCUUUAUACAAGCAACUGGCAUCGUCAUUAUUAGAAUCAAUAGAUUCUAAAACCUUCUGUAGGUCACACUGCAAUUUUAUGUUGAUCCCCAAAGGAAUCUCCUUUAAGCAGAAAGAAGCUGAAUGGCAGAAACUGGUUUUCCAUAAGGGAUCUGAACUAGUGAAUCUUAUGAAGACUGCAGUCCAUGAACUUCAUGUUCAGGAGCCUUUCUUUUCACAGCUAAAAGAUGGCCGGAAAACAAUUGAAGGAAGGUGUGCUGUUGGUGACUACAAUAGGAUUGCAUCAGGAUCUUUGAUCCUUUUUAACAAAUGUGUGAUUUUUGAAGUCCAGGAUGUACAUCGUUAUGCUUCAUUCUCCAAUAUGUUGGGUGCGGAGAGUCUUGCAAAAGUUCUUCCUGGAGUUGCAACCAUUGAAGAAGGUGUACAAAUCUUCAGGAGAUUUUACACAGAAGAGAAGGAAAUGUCAAAUGGUGUUCUUGCAAUCUAUGUUUCAAAAGUGGAUAUUCAGCCAUACAUUUUGUUGGCAACCCUACUUUCUGAAUUGAGUUAUGGGGGUGUUCAAGGCCUUCUAGGUCUGACACAUACCACAGGGACAGUUCCAGAUGCACUUCCCCCACCAAGAUCAACUCUUCUAUCAUCAUUUAUGCUGCCAUGUAAGCCAAAUGUAAAAGGUUGUACCUUGGCUCAUGGAGCUAGGGCUUUGGCAAAGCAUGCUAAUAGGAGUAGUAGUAAAUACUGGGGUACUUUGAAAGGAAAUGAUUCUGAUAAAAAUAAGCUUGCAAUGGAUGUCAUACGUCACUUAAUAGCACAUUGUGGCUGGUUGAAUGUGCAUAUUGUCCCACCUCAUGGUGCUGUCUUCGAAAUAAGAGUCGCUGGUGGAUAUGGUGCAAGGUGGUCUAAAGAUGGAAGUGAGUUUAUUGGAUUUCUGGAGCCGUACAUGGAAGACGGUCAUUCAAAGGGAUAAUGCACUAAUUUUGUUUGGGGGAGAGUUGUUUUCUUUAGCUCGUUUGAUUUGGAUAGCAACCGAGUCUUCGGUCUUUCACCUGCACAAUUGAGCAAACAAUGAGAGUGGGAGGCCGGGGAGUCUCCAAUGCUAAAGUUAGUAUAUCCCCUUAGUAGUUCAUGCAUGAGCUUGGAGGAAUCAGAGUUCUUCGUACCUGGAGAUCGACUUUUAUAUAGGGUUUCUGAGUAGCAUCUGGGACGACGUCAUUAAUGCGGCGUGGAGUCUAGGGGGUGGCGCCAUUAAUGCGACGUGACUUCCUAACUCACUUUACUCUACGGGUGUUCCUUGUUAAGCCCUUUCAUGCUUGCUAUCAGGAGAUCAAGAGUUCUCCAUAUUUAUCGCCCACUUGACUGUGCAGGUUUGCCGAGGGUAGGGCAUCAUCGGGGUGGUGUCAGGGCGGCGAGUCCCAUCUGCCCCUACCGUCCGCUUUAUCCAUGCAUGGGUUGCUUCAUGGGUGGGUUUCGCUCGUGGGCCGAGUAUUCCACAAAGGCCCACUGACUCCUUUUGGAUAAGGGUUGUUGGGCUUGGCUAGGCUCUUUGACUUACUUCUCCCGUGAACUUGCUAUACGGGCCGAUGGGGGGAGGAAAACCACCUUACAAUUGUUAUUAGAGAAAAAACAAAUCAAUGGGCAAGUACGUUUGGGUAGUGAGAAGUGUUGA
Juglans regia (Persian walnut) is the source of this 1963-nucleotide RNA transcript. RefSeq lists it as uncharacterized. The record is from RefSeq and is a predicted model, not a curated record. The transcript is spliced from 13 exons. NCBI's taxonomy places the organism in Eukaryota, Viridiplantae, Streptophyta, Magnoliopsida, Fagales, Juglandaceae.